This 592-nucleotide long non-coding RNA is filed under the name Homo sapiens (human). RNAcentral's name for it is "HSALNT0056722". The record is from RNAcentral. Lineage: Eukaryota; Metazoa; Chordata; Mammalia; Primates; Hominidae.
CUUUCUUCACUUUCAGACACACAAUUAAACCCUGUGUAGUGAGAAGACUCUGCCUUUUUGGAAUCCUUUGAUCCUCACUCUCCAACUAAAGUUUAGGAAGAAAGACACUAUUGAAAUUCAACACAGAGUUUUAAGGAUUCCAGCCUUCACUCCUCUUGGCUCCAUCUAGGAAAAGCGAUUUCCACGGGGGGCAGAGAUGAUUUUCCUGGCUCUGGGCCUCAUGCCCUUUGGAUUGAAACUCUUGCCUGGAGCAUUAAGAACUUGGGGGAGAAAUCACUACUCACUGCUUUGCUCGCAAUUCUCAUUUGGACUAGCGCUUGCAGAAACUGAGCUGAACUUUCCGCACUGUUAUUGCAUCUGUAAGGAAAACGCCUAUUUUGGAGUGAAACCAGGGCCGCCUUAUGAGCUAAACAGAGUGUGUUACAGCUUCAAUAGACUAAACAAGCUCUAAAUUUAUCUUCCUAUGGUCACGGGAUCUCAUAUAUUCUGGCUGUCAUUGUCAUAAUAAGCCACUCUUGGUCAUAUGGAAAAGCAUUCAGCUGCUCCCUGCCUUUGCUCACAGCGUGUGGUACUCUCUUAGAAGCUAUUCCUG